This 463-nucleotide ribosomal RNA is filed under the name uncultured bacterium. RNAcentral's name for it is "bacterial SSU rRNA". It matches the Rfam family "Bacterial small subunit ribosomal RNA", at positions 330 to 791 of the family's 1533-position model. The record is from RNAcentral.
UCCAGACUCCUACGGGAGGCAGCAGUGAGGAAUAUUGGUCAAUGGGCUUACGCCUGAACCAGCCAAGUCGCGUGAGGGAAGACUGCCCUAUGGGUUGUAAACCUCUUUUGUCAGGGAGCAACGCCGGCUACGUGUAGCCGGACUGAGAGUACCUGAAGAAAAAGCAUCGGCUAACUCCGUGCCAGCAGCCGCGGUAAUACGGAGGAUGCGAGCGUUAUCCGGAUUUAUUGGGUUUAAAGGGUGCGUAGGCGGAAUGCCAAGUCAGCGGUAAAAUCGCGGGGCUCAACCUCGCUCCGCCGUUGAAACUGGCGUUCUUGAGUGGGCGAGAAGUAUGCGGAAUGCGUGGUGUAGCGGUGAAAUGCAUAGAUAUCACGCAGAACUCCGAUUGCGAAGGCAGCAUACCGGCGCCCAACUGACGCUGAAGCACGAAAGCGUGGGUAUCGAACAGGAUUAGAUACCUGUA